This 377-nucleotide unclassified non-coding RNA is filed under the name uncultured Frankiales bacterium. Its description in RNAcentral is "contains 16S-23S intergenic spacer region". Lineage: Bacteria; Bacillati; Actinomycetota; Actinomycetes; Frankiales. The record is from RNAcentral.
UCCGAGUUGACCCCGGCGGUCUCCCAUGAGUCCCCGGCAUUAUCCGCUGGCAACAUGGAACGAGGGUUGCGCUCGUUGCGGGACUUAACCCAACAUCUCACGACACGAGCUGACGACAACCAUGCACCACCUGUGCAGGACCCUUGCGGACCUCCCAUCUCUGGGAGAUUUCCCUGCAUGUCAAGCCUUGGUAAGGUUCUUCGCGUUGCGUCGAAUUAAGCCACAUGCUCCGCCGCUUGUGCGGGCCCCCGUCAAUUCCUUUGAGUUUUAGCCUUGCGGCCGUACUCCCCAGGCGGGGCGCUUAAUGCGUUAGCUGCGGCACGGAGCCCGUGGAAGGAACCCCACACCUAGCGCCCAACGUUUACGGCGUGGACUAC